AUUGAACGCUGGCGGCAGGCCUAACACAUGCAAGUCGAGCGGUAGAGAGAAGCUUGCUUCUCUUGAGAGCGGCGGACGGGUGAGUAAUGCCUAGGAAUCUGCCUGGUAGUGGGGGAUAACGUUCGGAAACGGACGCUAAUACCGCAUACGUCCUACGGGAGAAAGCAGGGGACCUUCGGGCCUUGCGCUAUCAGAUGAGCCUAGGUCGGAUUAGCUAGUUGGUGAGGUAAUGGCUCACCAAGGCGACGAUCCGUAACUGGUCUGAGAGGAUGAUCAGUCACACUGGAACUGAGACACGGUCCAGACUCCUACGGGAGGCAGCAGUGGGGAAUAUUGGACAAUUGGCGAAAGCCUGAUCCAGCCAUGCCGCGUGUGUGAAGAAGGUCUUCGGAUUGUAAAGCACUUUAAGUUGGGAGGAAGGGUACUUACCUAAUACGUGAGUAUUUUGACGUUACCGACAGAAUAAGCACC
RNAcentral lists this ribosomal RNA (471 nucleotides) under Pseudomonas sp. NN018575. RNAcentral's name for it is "bacterial SSU rRNA". It matches the Rfam family "Bacterial small subunit ribosomal RNA", at positions 30 to 494 of the family's 1533-position model. The record is from RNAcentral. Lineage: Bacteria; Pseudomonadati; Pseudomonadota; Gammaproteobacteria; Pseudomonadales; Pseudomonadaceae.